UACCAGCACCCCGAGUGGUCGGGACGAUUAUUGGGCCUAAAGCAUCCGUAGCCGGUUUUACAAGUCCCCCGUUAAAUCCAGCUGCUUAACAGAUGGGCUGCGGAGGAUACUAUAAGACUAGGAGGCAGGAGAGGCAAGCGGUACUCAGUGGGUAGGGGUAAAAUCCGUUGAUCCAUUGAAGACCACCAGUGGCGAAGGCGGCUUGCCAGAAUGCGCUCGACGGUGAGGGAUGAAAGCUGGGGGAGCAAACAGG
RNAcentral lists this ribosomal RNA (253 nucleotides) under uncultured bacterium. Its description in RNAcentral is "partial 16S ribosomal RNA". It matches the Rfam family "Archaeal small subunit ribosomal RNA", at positions 474 to 727 of the family's 1478-position model. The record is from RNAcentral.